RNAcentral lists this ribosomal RNA (441 nucleotides) under Salmonella enterica subsp. enterica serovar Weltevreden. RNAcentral's name for it is "bacterial SSU rRNA". It matches the Rfam family "Bacterial small subunit ribosomal RNA", at positions 530 to 970 of the family's 1533-position model. Lineage: Bacteria; Pseudomonadati; Pseudomonadota; Gammaproteobacteria; Enterobacterales; Enterobacteriaceae. RNAcentral also lists the same sequence under 1 other name. The record is from RNAcentral.
GGGUGCAAGCGUUAAUCGGAAUUACUGGGCGUAAAGCGCACGCAGGCGGUCUGUCAAGUCGGAUGUGAAAUCCCCGGGCUCAACCUGGGAACUGCAUUCGAAACUGGCAGGCUUGAGUCUUGUAGAGGGGGGUAGAAUUCCAGGUGUAGCGGUGAAAUGCGUAGAGAUCUGGAGGAAUACCGGUGGCGAAGGCGGCCCCCUGGACAAAGACUGACGCUCAGGUGCGAAAGCGUGGGGAGCAAACAGGAUUAGAUACCCUGGUAGUCCACGCCGUAAACGAUGUCUACUUGGAGGUUGUGCCCUUGAGGCGUGGCUUCCGGAGCUAACGCGUUAAGUAGACCGCCUGGGGAGUACGGCCGCAAGGUUAAAACUCAAAUGAAUUGACGGGGGCCCGCACAAGCGGUGGAGCAUGUGGUUUAAUUCGAUGCAACGCGAAGAACC